Molecule: transfer RNA, 69 nt
Filed under: Ictidomys tridecemlineatus (thirteen-lined ground squirrel)
Lineage: Eukaryota; Metazoa; Chordata; Mammalia; Rodentia; Sciuridae
Description: Spermophilus tridecemlineatus (thirteen-lined ground squirrel) tRNA
Rfam family: tRNA
About the family: Transfer RNA (tRNA) molecules are approximately 80 nucleotides in length.
Source: Rfam by way of RNAcentral
GGGGCUAUAGCUCAGUUGGUAGAGUGCUUGCCUUGCACAAGGCCAUGGGUUCAAUCCCCAACAUCCCCC